CAAUAGCGUAUAUUAAAGUUGUUGCAGUUAAAAAGCUCGUAGUUGGAUUUCUGGUAGGAGCGACCGUGCCGAACUUGAUUGUUCGAGUAUUGUGUUGUCUUCAGCCAUCCUCGUGGAGAACUUUUCUAACAUUAACUUGUUGGGAUUGGGACCCGCGUCGUUUACUGUGAAAAAAUUAGAGUGUUUAAAGCAGGCAUUAGCUUGAAUACAUUAGCAUGGAAUAAUAAGAUAGGACUUUGGUACUAUUUUGUUGGUUUGCAUACCAAAUUAAUGAUCAACAGGAACAGUUUGAGGAUAUUCGUAUGAACAUGUCAGAGGUGAAAUUCUUGGAUUUUGAUCAGACGAACUACUGCGAAAGCAUUUAUCAAGGAUGCUUUCAUUAA
This 383-nucleotide ribosomal RNA is filed under the name uncultured eukaryote. Its description in RNAcentral is "partial 18S ribosomal RNA". It matches the Rfam family "Eukaryotic small subunit ribosomal RNA", at positions 592 to 976 of the family's 1831-position model. The record is from RNAcentral.